This 75-nucleotide transfer RNA is filed under the name compost metagenome. RNAcentral describes it as "tRNA-Ala". It matches the Rfam family "tRNA". Rfam says of the family: Transfer RNA (tRNA) molecules are approximately 80 nucleotides in length. The record is from RNAcentral.
GGGGGAUAGGUGUUGCCGGGGGCACGGUGGCUUUGCAAGCCGCAGGGCAGAGUUCGAGACUCUGAUUCUCCACCA